CUGGCGGCAGGCUUAACACAUGCAAGUCGAGCGGUAACACUUCGGGUGACGAGCGGCGGACGGGUGAGUAAUACAUAGGAAUCUGCCUAGUAGUGGGGGAUAACGUAGGGAAACUUACGCUAAUACCGCAUACAUCCUACGGGGGAAAGCAGGGGAUCUUCGGACCUUGCGCUAUUAGAUGAGCCUAUGUCGGAUUAGCUAGUUGGUGAGGUAAAGGCUCAUCAAGGCGACGAUCCGUAGCUGGUCUGAGAGGAUGAUCAGCCACACUGGGACUGAGACACGGCCCAGACUCCUACGGGAGGCAGCAGUGGGGAAUAUUGGACAAUGGGCGCAAGCCUGAUCCAGCCAUGCCGCGUGUGUGAAGAAGGCCUUAGGGUUGUAAAGCACUUUCAUUGGGGAGAAAGGCUGUUUGGUUAAUACCCAAGCAGAUUGAUGUUACCCAAAGAAGAAGGACCGGCUAACUCCGUGCCAGCAGCCGCGGUAAUACGGAGGGUCCAAGCGUUAAUCGGAAUUACUG
Molecule: ribosomal RNA, 517 nt
Filed under: uncultured bacterium
Lineage: Bacteria
Description: bacterial SSU rRNA
Rfam family: Bacterial small subunit ribosomal RNA
Source: RNAcentral